Long non-coding RNA from Triticum aestivum (bread wheat), 2470 nucleotides. RefSeq lists it as uncharacterized. The transcript has 4 exons. The record is from RefSeq and is a predicted model, not a curated record. NCBI's taxonomy places the organism in Eukaryota, Viridiplantae, Streptophyta, Magnoliopsida, Poales, Poaceae.
UUGAAGAUCUCUAUUGGCAACCUCCUCCGUCUGCUGCUAUCACCCAGCCCUCUCGCUGGCCCUAAUCGGCGCACGUCUCCUCUCCACUCCUCCUUCAGAGUAUGCGCACAUGUGGAGGCCAUCGAUCUCAAUGGCCGCUUCGUCUGCCUGUUGCCGUCACCCUGCCCUAAUCCAUCCUCUUACCUCCGUCGAUAGUGCCGCAGUCGUGAGUCUCCGCAGGUUAUAUGUCUCCUCCUCAGAUUUCCCUUCCAUUGCAAAAGAUAGGAACGCCUUUCCCAUAUCUUCAGUAGUGGCUUCAAUUCAAGUCGCAAAAGUUUCUAUAGAACAGUUCAGUUGUCAAAGUUCCAUUAGCCUGCAAAACAUUCUCUCAAAUCUGGAGCCUACUCAAGAAUGACGACUCCACCAUUGUGUGCUCACCUUCUUGGCUGCCACUUCUCAUCAGCUUAAUCUUCUGUCACAGACUCAUUUCGGCAGGGAGCUCCACACGCCAUAGUCCCUCCCUCUCUCUCUAUCUGAUUAGGACUCCCUCACAGAUACCACAAUCGCUCUCCGAUGUGCACAUAUUAGCCAUGGUGUACCCAUCGUUUAUACCAGUCAAUACUUGCAUACGAAGUUAGCACACCUGCAUUGGCAUGGGUAGCCCCAAUGCUUACACCAGUCCAUCCUAUAAGUGCUCUUGGCAAACUUGGAGUGUAUAUGAAUUCUGAAGGUCAAGAAGGCAGCACCUUAGCAAUAUUUAUUCAAAGCAACACGGAAGAUCGAAAAAUGAUGGGUAAGUUAACCUCUUGGCAGUUCUUCCUCAUAAAUUUUUCUACUUUGCUAUUUUAAAGUCACCCAUUUUCUGAAUUGGUGUACUAAUAUAGAACAGGUAAGAGUUCGUUUUCGUACAUUUACGUAUUCUGUUGUAUAUAUAGUGCUCUGACUUGCUUAGUAAGAUCUGCUUUGUACUUAAGGUCUAAUUGGUAACACCAAGCAACUUCCAAGAAAUUUAUAUCUACUGACUGAUUCCAUGAUAUUAAACUGUAUGCUGUUGUCGUUGAUAUAUAGGGUAUACAUACAUGUACAGACUUUACUAGACACAUAUUGUCAGAUAAAGUUCAGUCUCUUUUUCUUUGUUUAAGCAAAAUAGAUGGCCUUAUAUGCAUCUAUUUCCAUUCUGAUAUAACUGAAAGGAUCAUGUUGUAUGAUCUAAUACGUAAUAGAUAAAUGGAAGGAGUAGGGUAUGCCCUAAUUAACUCUGACAUCAUAUUCGAUAAUCAGUGUCUUUCUUUUACAUGGACGGGAUACUUAUGAAGAGAAUCUUGGCAUGUAUUCUUUGGAUGCUCUCAAGUUUGCACGACACAUUUAAUUAAAUUUAAAUUUAUCAAAUGAUCAAAUGCUUAGUUGGGAAAUUAUUAAUUUGUAAUUCCGCUCAUCUUUUAAGUAGAGGCAUACUUGGCUGAAUUUGGUGCAACAGUUCAUUAUUCAUGGCAGCUCUUAUUUCUUUUCUAUUUUCAUGUGAGCUCAAUUAAUUAAUGGGCAGACAAAUAAGAUGCUUCUCCAUAUAGAUGGUGCUACUUAGAAUGAAAUGAUAUGUUUUGGUUCUACACACACAUGCUAGAUUAUGCAUCACUUUAAGAAUUGACUGAAGUUAUUUGUUAGUAGUACACAAAAUGAUCUUUAUUUUUGGAAUGACCACAUGAGCGUCUUCUGCAACAAUUCCAGGAUAACCUAUUAUUCUUUCUUUAUAAAUAUUUAUUGAUCCAAACAGAUUGUUCGGCCCUAUUUAUAUGAGAUUAUGGAUGAAUAUAUUUCCAAAAAUUUCAAGCUCGCCCUAAACUCUUUCAAUUGCUCUACAAUUUCCUGUAUUCUAAAUAAAUAGUGCAUCCAGGCAUUAUUGUAAGCUGAACAAAGUAUUAUCCUCCACCACAUGUACAGAUUUCCGGAAUGGAAAGGGUCUACGAACAUAUUGGGUGAAUGUGUCAAUGCUAUUACGUAAACAUAUCAAUAUCACACUUAUCAUGUUGAACGGUUACUUUCAAUAAUCUUACAACUAUUUUAAUAUAUUAUUUAUUGUAUGCAUAAAAUAUAUCUUAAAUGAUGCAAUAUAUGUGUUUCCUCUUUCUGACAAUAAGCGAGUGUAUUUGGUUGUUUGCAUUAUUUGUUCCUAUUAUUUUGAUCUCUAACCCUUAGUUUCUGCAAACCUUUAUAUCGUAGUGCCUCGCUGUCUUGGGUUGAUUUGCCAAUCAAGUGCUAUUUUUUAUUUUAGUUGUGGAAUAUCACCAUGAUGGUGCAAUGAGAGUUGAUUUCCCUAUUCACUGCAAUAUCGGAGGAAUGGCAGGACUGCUAGAGAACUAUAACGUGGGUUGAUUUGACAUAGAUAAUCCAUAGCUUGGUGUGUCGUGUGCACAUCCAUCGUCGGGUAUGUAUAAUAGUAAUCCAUCUCAUCAUGGGAUGUUAGUGUUGACAAGAUUAAGGCGAAAGAUACAAA